Arachis ipaensis is the source of this 1569-nucleotide long non-coding RNA. RefSeq lists it as uncharacterized. NCBI's taxonomy places the organism in Eukaryota, Viridiplantae, Streptophyta, Magnoliopsida, Fabales, Fabaceae. The record is from RefSeq and is a predicted model, not a curated record.
UUAUGGCUACAUUGUUCUGUUCUGUUCAAAAGUAAUAAAAGAAAGCUUGUUCAAAAAGUUUUGCGAUGUGCACGACGGUUCCAUCCGAAUAGUCUUUUCCCCUUACAGCAAGAUAUGUUCUUGAGAAUUCUGUGCCACGCGCCACCUAGUGUUCAGUAGCAGAAUGUAGUUGUUUCCAAUGUGAAUCAAAUUGAGUUAAUAGUCAAAAUCGUUUUUGAAAGAUACUCUUAUCUCUAUUUUGGUCUUUGAAAAAUAUUCUGAUCUCCAUUUUGGUUUUCGAAAGAUAAAAUUAAUCGAAAUCAUCCCAAAAAAUACACGACAUGGUCACCUUCGUCCUUCCGUCAUCUCCAUCGCUGAGUUGGCAAACGGUCGCUUGCGUGUGCCGUUAACUGUCAGCGUAGCACACAAGCAAAAUGUCGUUUUGAUACAAUGCCCAACCCAGAAAUGGUUUGUUUGGAUUGUUUUGGAGAGGAGUGCUUCCUGCCGAGCUUGACAACUCUUUGGAUCAAUAAUUGCCAGAAACUAGAGAGGUGGAUAACAUCGAAGGGCCUUUUCAAAUCUGGAGACGCUAGAGGCUAUACUGCAAGGGCGUUCACCAUCUCACCUCCCUCCAACAAUUAACGAUUGAAGAGUGUUCAAAGCUGGAGAAUAUCGUCCAAAGCUGGAAGAGAUGAACGACCCAUGGAUUCAAUUCGAGAUAGACUGGCAUGAUCUAAUUCAGGGAUUCUGAUUUUCCACCAUUUCUGCAACAUGCAAAGAUUCUGUCUGUUAGCAUGUUAUGGAGGAGGUUCUUGAAGAGAUGAAAGACCCACAAAUUCAAUCCAAAAGUUAUGGCAAAUGUAAUUAGGAAGGGAAGAAUCAAGAGUCAAUAUUAAUACAUGGCUGAGCCAAGUUGAGAAUUGGGGUGCACUGAUAUCAAAGAGUCUAAAAUUGCAAGAAAAUUUGUAGAUAUGGCAAUGCAAGCAUUCAAUGAAAACCAGUGCUUGUUUUAAAAGGCCUCCGGAUGUUUUUCAUUACUCAGACCCGGAAAUUCAAUAUAUAUUUCUUUUUUAGAAUUGCUAAAUCUAUGACUGGGACUGCCCUUCAUUCUGACUGGCUUGGCUGCAUUCCAUUAAAAGCCUCUUCCAUAGAGCACAGCCAACAAAAUUUUCUUUUGUUGAAGGAGGUUUGCUGCCUAACUUGAUGGAGCUUUGUAUUAGAGAAUGUGAGAAACUGGGACCUCUCCUAAACCUACUGCAACUGCACUUCUGGCUGUUUCUGUUAAGACCAUCAAAAGAACAAGUUUUGCAACUGCUAAGAGGCUGACCAACUUCAUGACUUUUGUACUUACUCCAGGCUUCGAACACCCAAGGAAGAAUGAUAAAAAUGAUUGAUUAGUUAGAAAUGUGUUGUGGUUGAAUCUUUUUGUAUGGAACAACAUUCUCUUUUUUGUAUGGUAUUUAUCUUUUAGGACAAUGUGUUGUGGUGUCAUCAAAACCUCAUAACUUUGCUAUGGUGUUUAUCUAUUAAGGGAAUGUGACAAUUAGCCUUCAAUGGCAAGUUAUUACCAAGGUUACUGAGUUUCACUAC